AGGCACGUAGCUCAAUUGGUCAGAGCAGCGGUCUCCAAAGCCGCCGGCUGCAGGUUCGAGUCCUGCCGUGUCUGCAACCA
RNAcentral lists this transfer RNA (80 nucleotides) under Mycobacterium phage Louie6. RNAcentral describes it as "tRNA-Trp". It matches the Rfam family "tRNA". Rfam says of the family: Transfer RNA (tRNA) molecules are approximately 80 nucleotides in length. The record is from RNAcentral. Lineage: Duplodnaviria; Heunggongvirae; Uroviricota; Caudoviricetes. RNAcentral also lists the same sequence under 1 other name.